AGCGGAAGUAGCUCAGUGGUAGAGCUUCGGCUUCCCAAGCCGAGAGUCGCGGGUUCGAAUCCCGUUUUCCGCUU
RNAcentral lists this transfer RNA (74 nucleotides) under bacterium ADurb.Bin363. RNAcentral's name for it is "tRNA-Gly". It matches the Rfam family "tRNA". From Rfam's summary of the family: Transfer RNA (tRNA) molecules are approximately 80 nucleotides in length. The record is from RNAcentral.